CAGAGCGGGAUGUGGAGGGAGUGUCGGGGGUGGUUGCUGAGGCAGAUGUGACAGAUUAAAGGUGUGAAAAUGAUCAUCUAAGCUCUCCUUACUGUUGCUGUGCAAGCUCACAGUUUUUAUGCAAUGACAGAUUGUUAGCAACAUUUGAGGUAUAAAUAAUAAGGUGGUUAAUGUGGCAAAACUGUGAGUGUGUUGACAACCUGUCUGACAGUCCCAGUGCUCAUUUGUUCCCCUGUUGAAUAUUAUAGCUACGUCCUGCUCCCAGAUCUCAGAAAUAGAGGAAGGACAAAAAGAAGAAGAGCCAAAUUGUAAUAAACCACAAUUGUUGUUGUUCAAGUGCCUCUGGUCACAAAACAGCACCUGAAGACAAAAUUUCACAGCUGUUUAAACUCACUGCAUAUUUCAAAAUCUGUGUUCUGUUUCUAAUAACCUGGAAACGCCUGCUUUGAAAUUUGUCUCAAAAUGCAGGGACGUCUGAGUCACGCUGAACAGCGGCAGGACAGGAGGCUGAAUACCGAUACAUCGCAGUCCCCUUUGAAGAAAGUCUUGACAGUUGCAGGGAGUUCAGACAGAGCCAGAAAUGAAAAAGAAGUGGUCAGAUCUUAAGGUGGAGGCAACAAAAAAGACUUGCGCACCAUCGUCAGAGUGUGUCUGCAACUGGAGGGGGCGAGACCACACCUGAGCUCACACCGCUGGACGCACAAAUAGCUGCAAUACUCAAGACGCAAUUCUUCCAGAGUCGGGAGCGGUAGGUUGGUGAGGAGGUUCCCGGCGAGGAAGCUGUAGCAGCAGAGCGUCCAGCUGUCCUCAGCACCAGUGCAUCCGGCGCGCAUGGUGUGUCUGGAAGUGGCCGGGUUCUGACCCGAAGCUGUCCUACAGACACAGAGGGACACCAUCAGUGCUAUUACUGUCACAGCAGAUGAGUUUAAACAGAUUAGAGCUGUGAUGUGUGAAAUAUCUGACACAUUAAAUGAACUUUUGCAUUGCUGUCUUUUCAUAA
This is a long non-coding RNA of Thunnus maccoyii (southern bluefin tuna), 1000 nucleotides long. RefSeq lists it as uncharacterized. NCBI's taxonomy places the organism in Eukaryota, Metazoa, Chordata, Actinopteri, Scombriformes, Scombridae. The transcript has 3 exons. The record is from RefSeq and is a predicted model, not a curated record.